GACCCGGAUGUACUCAAAAUAUCUUGCUCUUAUCAACGUCUCCGGUAAUAAACAACACACUCUGUGUGUACCCUCUGAGAAAAUCCAAAUGCGAGUGAAGGCAAGUUCAAUCGGCAAGAAAUUGUGUCAUCGCAAGAGAACUCUGGAAGACGACUCAAUCGAUUCGAUACACACAAGCACAAGCACACACCUGGACCUGGAAGUAAGCCAUCGUGAUAAUGAUGCCUUCCGUCUUGUGGCCCCUGGCCACAAAGACGGCCUGAACUAAUGACUCGAUGUUACUCUGUUAUAUCGAAUUACAUCACACUUGUGACGUGCUAUGAUUUGAAGUCUUCUGUAGUAUCUAGCACAAGU
Corticium candelabrum is the source of this 354-nucleotide long non-coding RNA. RefSeq lists it as uncharacterized. The transcript has 3 exons. NCBI's taxonomy places the organism in Eukaryota, Metazoa, Porifera, Homoscleromorpha, Homosclerophorida, Plakinidae. The record is from RefSeq and is a predicted model, not a curated record.